UUCGAUGAUGGCAUGAAAUCUUUGAGACCUGAUUGUCUAAUUUGAUGACAACUACAAGCAUUUUUUUUCUGAGGAU
This 76-nucleotide small nucleolar RNA is filed under the name Olea europaea subsp. europaea. RNAcentral describes it as "Small nucleolar RNA R66". It matches the Rfam family "Small nucleolar RNA R66". From Rfam's summary of the family: snoR66 is a C/D box small nucleolar RNA, which acts as a methylation guide for 18S ribosomal RNA in plants. snoR66 has been alternatively named snoZ269 in rice. The record is from Rfam by way of RNAcentral. Lineage: Eukaryota; Viridiplantae; Streptophyta; Magnoliopsida; Lamiales; Oleaceae.